This 103-nucleotide microRNA precursor is filed under the name Marmota monax (woodchuck). The record is from RNAcentral. Lineage: Eukaryota; Metazoa; Chordata; Mammalia; Rodentia; Sciuridae.
AGUGGGAUAACUGGGUCAAAUGGUGGUGCCACUCCAAAUUUUCUGAGGAAUCUUCACACUGCUUUCCAGAGUGGUUGCAUCAGUUUGCCGCCCCACCAGCAAU